UGAAGAAGGAGAAAGCAUCACCCAAAAUGUGUCUGGAGACCAGAAACAGCGCCGUCUGGAGCUGCUGGCAGCCAUGACUCAGCUGCAAGCCUCCGACACUCUUGGCUUCCACUUCGAACGUCUGCAGCACGAGAGUGCCACGGGUGACGUGGACGAGGCGCUCACCACAGACACCAUCUGCAAGAAUCGCUUAAACAAA
Hyalella azteca is the source of this 199-nucleotide long non-coding RNA. RefSeq lists it as uncharacterized. The transcript is spliced from 3 exons. The record is from RefSeq and is a predicted model, not a curated record. Lineage: Eukaryota; Metazoa; Arthropoda; Malacostraca; Amphipoda; Hyalellidae.